Molecule: long non-coding RNA, 932 nt
Filed under: Canis lupus familiaris (dog)
Lineage: Eukaryota; Metazoa; Chordata; Mammalia; Carnivora; Canidae
Description: lncRNA (ENSCAFG00000045474.2)
Source: RNAcentral
CUGCAGGUGACCGCCAUUCCCCACGCCCACCGCAGGGGGGCAGCACUUCCCAGACACAAGAGCUCUGCUCUGCCUUGGCUGAGAAUUUCAAACUGGCACCAACACCAGGGUGGAGUGGACUCCGUGUGACCUUGGGGCCCACGCACGGAGGUUGUCCCCAUGCCGCGCAGCUGUGCACCCAAGGAGGAGCCCGAAGAGAGAGGAAGUGGGGUGUGCUGGCUGAGAGAUGUCAGCUUCUCCCUUCGGCCACCUGCAAUAGACUAGUGGUCCCCGGACCACUAGUCCUUGAGGGCCCUCUGAGCCCCUCUCUGCUCUCCACUCCUCCUGUGUUCUCUGCUUCCAGGGCCCACCCCCUCCAUGUGAGGACCGAGAUCUUCCUGCAGUCCUCCCGGCCAGCUGCCUUCGUGGCAAGUGGGGCUGUGCAUGGGCCGUCCAACCUCACCAUGAGCUUCUUGUCCCCUUCCAUCCAGAUUGUCCCUGCUGUGGGGAGUUGGUGUGAUCUUGGAAUUCAAGAGGCCUGAAGUCUAGUCCCCACUUGGCCAUAGACGCCAUGCCCUGGAAGCAAGCCCCUGAAUUUCUCGGAAUUUCUUCCCAUGUCCACUGCACAGAACAGCAUUCCUUCCAUCAUCUACACCAUGGAGGUGGCACAGCCUUUGAAAGAAGAGUGCUUGAUGGCACUUAGCAUAUGCCUCAGCAGUGCAGUAAGUGCUUUGCUUGUUCACUGGGUUUAGUUACAGCCAGGUGACCCAGGGCUCCAGGUUAUAACAGCUGCAGCCCCUCCCUGGGUGGCCUCGGCACCACUGUUGUUCUGAGGUUUGGGGUUCAGACUGAGUCACUGCACAUGCUCCUGUCUCGUGCCUUAUGCAAGAAAGAAGAAUAUAGUUCUUUGUACUUUGCUUGGUUUACCCAGCAAUCUUCAUGCCCAAGCCCGG